AUUCAGCUGGAGUUGCUGAGAGCAUGGUCUAGGAGUCUGGAGCUGUGGGUAGCCUCUGGUCACCCCAGUUAGAGACCCUACCAGCUACAGAAUAUGACACAGAAGAAAGCAGAGUAAGGAGGCUCACACAAGGGCGUAAGGACAAGGUUAAGCCAGAGAGCCAAAUAGGACAGAACUUUUGGGAAAACAACACAGAAGAAAGCAGAGUUAAGAGAAACUCCCAGGAAGACCCAAGGACAGAAGUCAAGCCAUAGAACCAAAUAGGACAGAACUUUUCUGAUUUCAUUGGAUAGUCUUCACAGAGGAUGCUACCAUUUAUGAAUAUCCAUUUCAGUUUUCCCAAGAACUGUGUUGUCAAGACAAACAUCAGUGCAGAUUUAAGUACUGGACUCUGUCACCACCAUGCCCAGGAUGGAAAACGAAUGCCUCUGCCACAAGCAGUGAAACCCACAUAAAAAGAGUCUCCAACGAGAAACCAGUAUCUCCACUGGAGAGAGUCUUUGUUUACUGCUAACUUAUUUGAAUGGAUUGUCUCCAUAGAGUGGUGAGAAGAGUUCCCCACCCUACAUUUUUGGAGUAAACCAGGGCUUUCAUUCAGAUAAAAGAGCCCCUAAGCCACUAUUUAGGAACCAACUUAAUCCUGCAUACUUGCCCUAGAAGAAAUUUUGUUUCUAGUUCUUGUCCAGAGUGUUGAGCUACUGUUUUCCAUGCUCUGCUUAAAUUCACCUCUUAAAUAGAAGGAAUUCCAUCUAUUGCAGAGGCAACGUUUAAACAUAGUAAGAGAAUUAUAGCAAGCAAAGGAAGGUCAGAAGCUUGAUGGAAAAGUAGAAAGAAGGGAGAGGACAGAAAAUGGGAGAAAAAAGACAUUGAUAUAAAAAGUGCUUUUUUCAAAAAACUGCAAGGAAGAAAAUGGAACAAGGAAGUUAGAGAUGGGGAAAACCCUGGCGAUCAUGAAACUAGAUUUUUUUUUUCUUCUCAAACAUCAUCUCCCUCAUGGAAGUAAAUGGACUUAACUGUGGACAGUCUUUCCUUGACAGGAUUCUCAUCUACUCUCCAAGCCUACAGGCCAGCCUUGGUAGACAUGGCAUGACAGCAUAGUGAUUAGUCAAUGAUGCCCAACAGACAACAAAGGGCAAUGAUAACUGGCAAUCAUGCUUGCAAGUAGCCCAUAGUAGUCACAUGUCAUGAAGGGCCUUGUGAAAUCAGUUAAAGUCUAAAUUAUCAACAAAGUUAUACAAAAUGCAUUGGGACUUUAUUUAGGUCACCUUAUUCUUUGUAAUACGUAGUUCCCUCAAGGGUUACGAGAAAGGUUAUUCAUUUGAAAAUAAAAGGAAA
Long non-coding RNA from Talpa occidentalis (Iberian mole), 1335 nucleotides. RefSeq lists it as uncharacterized. Lineage: Eukaryota; Metazoa; Chordata; Mammalia; Eulipotyphla; Talpidae. The record is from RefSeq and is a predicted model, not a curated record. The transcript is spliced from 4 exons.